UACUAGCAAUCUCCGUGAGCCAAACACGGAUGUGGUUUCAAGAGAUUCUGAGGUCUUUCAGCAUCCAAGGACUCUUUGCUGUUGACAUGAUAUUAUACCACAGUCUGGUGAGCUGCCUCCCUCGCACUCAGAGCCACAGUUGACAGAAUGCCGCAAGUCCCCAGCUACAAAUGCGGGAAAGCAAAAUCUGACCCUACACAGACAUUGAAUCCUGCCAGAGAGUUGUUACCAAAAUCAAGGGUAGGAAUUGUUUCGAAUGAAAAUGAGAGCUUCAGCCAAGUGGUCACUUCCCCACCUAGCAAGUGUUCAUGAGCGCGUCAAGCAGGCCCUGAAAAACAA
Molecule: small RNA, 339 nt
Filed under: Histoplasma capsulatum
Lineage: Eukaryota; Fungi; Ascomycota; Eurotiomycetes; Onygenales; Ajellomycetaceae
Also listed under: 1 other name
Description: hypothetical RNA
Source: RNAcentral